Molecule: long non-coding RNA, 1465 nt
Filed under: Oreochromis niloticus (Nile tilapia)
Lineage: Eukaryota; Metazoa; Chordata; Actinopteri; Cichliformes; Cichlidae
Description: lncRNA (ENSONIG00000042208.1)
Source: RNAcentral
AUGGCUGCUGUAUCAGCUGGUGUGCUAUAUUACUCUAUAAUUACCCUGCUGACUAUAAGUUCAGUGUAUCAUGUCGUGUGGGUUUUGUAUUUCUGUUACUCUGAUAACACUGUACAGACAACUAACAUAUUGUUUCUCGUCUUACACUUUCAGGAACUUGACUCACAUCUGUGCUUUGCCUGUGUGCAGAAGAAGAACAAGGACCAGAUCUCCAGUCUUCUCUCUCACAUCCCAACCCCCCAAUCCCUCUAUCCUCUGUCCUGCUCCACCUGUUGUCUCUGCCUUCUUUCCAUCUGUAUUUCACCCUGUGGUUUGUGAGAAAUUUUGCCAAACCAAGAAUCUUAUUGCGGUUUGAUUUCAAAGCCGUGUCUUUCCUGCUCUGUCUGUUCUCUCUGCUAAUUUUCUCUCUACCUGUUUUUCACUCUUUGGCUUGCUGCUGAAAAAUGCACAAGCCAAUAAAGCAAUAAAGAGUGCAUAUUUUGCCUCAACCUAUGAACAAACUGAACAAACAAAGAAAACUCUAAUUCACGGUUUGAUUGUGAUUUGCCAGCCGUGUCUUUCCUGCUCUGUCUGUUCUUUCUGCUAAAUUUUCUCUCUACCUGUUUUUCACUCUUGGCUUGCUGCUGAAAAAUGCCAAGCCAUUAAAGCAAUAAAGAGUGCAUAUAUUGCCUCUACCUGAGAACAAACUGAACAAACAAAGAAAACUCUAAUUCACGGUUUGAUUGUGAUUUCCCAGCCGUGUCUCUCCUGCUCUGCCUGUUCUCUCUUCUAGAUUUUCUCUCUACCUGUUUUUCAUUCUGGGCUUGCUGCUAAGUUGUGCCAAGCCAAUAAAGAGAGUGCAUAAUAUUCUCUCGACUGAAGAACAAACUGUCAAACAAACACAACUGUUUCAGACAAAUAAAAACUGAAAUAUAAAAACAAAGAAAACAUCUCCUGGUGUGUGCCACUCUUAUCUUGUGAACAUAUUUUCUGAAGACUAAGAAACACUUGCAGGUGUGUGAAAAUGCCAAGGAAGCAGAAAAGUCAAAAGCUGCAAAACAACGGUGGAAGAAGUUCCAUGAGAUUCACAGUGUACCAAUAUGUGAACAGGCUGAGUUUGAUUUUCCUCAUAGCUCUGCAGAAGACAGUGUGUCUACAAAGACCAAUUCUGAGAGUGUCAAACAGGCAGGUCAACAUGUUCCUGCACAUGUACAACAGGUAUCUUAUGCUGUUGCUGUAAAGAGUGGACUGCAGCAUGAAUUUAAUGAACAACAUGAGGUGUCAAGUGCCCCACAGGUGGGUUAUGCUGAUUUUUUGAAAAGAGGCCAUCACAGUGAUGUGGGAGGACCAUCUCAUGCAGAAAGAGUGAACCUUGAAAACCAGCCCUCUGUAACACAUGUCUGUGCAUCUCACAGCCAGGCACAUCCUAAAUAUGGAGACUCCAGAAACAAGCAGUGCACAUGUAACUCACUCACAUUUCUUGCAU